AGCGAACGCUGGCGGCAGGCUUAACACAUGCAAGUCGAGCGGGCAUCCUUGUGGUGUCUGCGGCAGACGGGUGCGUAACGCGUGGGAACGUGCCCUUCGGUUCGAAAUAACUCAGGGAAACUUGAGCUAAUACCGGAUACGCCCUUUUGGGGCAAGGUUUACUGCCGAAGGAUCAGCCCGCGUCUGAUUAGAUAGUUGGUGAGGUUAUGGCUCACCAAGGCGACGAUCAGUAGCUGGUCUGCGAGGCUAGUCCGCCACACUGGGACUGAGACACGGCCCAGAAUACUACGGGAGGCAGCAGUGGGGAAUAUUGGAAAAUGGGGGCAACCCUGAUCCAGCCAUGCCGCGUGAGUGAUGACGGCCUUAGAGUUGUAAAGCUCUUUUCUCCGGGACGAUAAUGACGGUACCGGAGGAAUAAGCCCCGGCUAACUUCGUG
Molecule: ribosomal RNA, 436 nt
Filed under: uncultured bacterium
Lineage: Bacteria
Description: partial 16S ribosomal RNA
Rfam family: Bacterial small subunit ribosomal RNA
Source: RNAcentral